Molecule: ribosomal RNA, 497 nt
Filed under: uncultured bacterium
Lineage: Bacteria
Description: partial 16S ribosomal RNA
Rfam family: Bacterial small subunit ribosomal RNA
Source: RNAcentral
GACGAACGCUGGCGGCGUGCCUAAUACAUGCAAGUAGAACGCUGAAGAGAGGAGCUUGCUCUUCUUGGAUGAGUUGCGAACGGGUGAGUAACGCGUAGGUAACCUGCCUUGUAGCGGGGGAUAACUAUUGGAAACGAUAGCUAAUACCGCAUAACAAUGGAUGACACAUGUCAUUUAUUUGAAAGGGGCAAUUGCUCCACUACAAGAUGGACCUGCGUUGUAUUAGCUAGUAGGUGAGGUAAUGGCUCACCUAGGCGACGAUACAUAGCCGACCUGAGAGGGUGGUCGGCCACACUGGGACUGAGACACGGCCCAGACUCCUACGGGAGGCAGCAGUAGGGAAUCUUCGGCAAUGGGGGCAACCCUGACCGAGGAACGCCGCGUGAGUGAAGAAGGGUUUCGGAUCGUAAAGAUCUGUUGUAAGUCAAGAACGGGUGUGAGAGUGGAAAGUUCACACUGUGACGGUAGCUGACCAGAAAGGGACGGCUAACUACGUG